CAAUUUUACCUACACACUAGAGACUUUGCUGGAGACAACUGGAAGGCUCACUUCGAGUAGAUCCAAUACUUCUAAUCAGUAACUAAAAUGUAUUCAUAGAUUUGAAAGACUAUAAGGCAUGAAUUUAACUGCCUUCAUAUAUUUUCCGUGCUUGACGCAAAGGUGAUACAUUUUUCAUGUCAGCAAAGCUCCUUGGAGUAGCGUAUGCUCUGGGGAGGUAAUUAAGGAAGAUCAAUAUGUACAAUUGAUUGAAUUUUGACUUAUCCACUUGCACGAUGUACUAUGCCUGACCAUUGCAUUUCCCUGUGUUAUUGAGAGGUAGAGCGCAGAUUAGUACCUCGAGCCGACAAGAGAGUCUGCGUGUGAACAUCACAGGAUCUUGCGUCACUUUUAAUGAAACGAGGUGAGGCUUUUCCCAGAGUACCAAGGCAAAGACUUUACCUCCGUGCUCGUACCCCCUCGCUCCAAGUACCACUUCUGUGGAUCUCCCGGGAGCAGCCGUUUCUGCUCGACAGAAGCCUGGGAAGGCCGGUCCGAAAGGCGAACAGGGAGCCGUAGUCCUGUAGGGAAGGGGGCUCAUCGCUGCGCUCCAUUAAUAAGAGUGAAAACUGCUGCAUGGGAGCCUUCGAAAAGCAACAUGCACCUUCUACAAGGUUACGUCGGAGUGAAAUAAACCACUGGAGUUAUCCCA
Molecule: long non-coding RNA, 691 nt
Filed under: Apteryx owenii (little spotted kiwi)
Lineage: Eukaryota; Metazoa; Chordata; Aves; Apterygiformes; Apterygidae
Description: lncRNA (ENSAOWG00000015405.1)
Source: RNAcentral